GAUGAACGCUGGCGGCGUGCCUAAUACAUGCAAGUCGAACGCUGGAAAUCUAGCUUGCUAGAUUGAAGGAGUGGCGAACGGGUGAGUAAUACAUAAGCAACCUACCCACGAAGACUGGGAUAAUCUCUGGAAACGGGGACUAAUACCGGAUAGGUAAUCGGAAGGCAUCUUCUGAUUAUUAAAGGUUAAAAACACUGGUGGAUGGGCUUAUGGCGCAUUAGUUAGUUGGUGAGGUAACGGCCCACCGAGACGAUGAUGCGUAGCCGGCCUGAGAGGGUGAACGGCCACAUUGGGACUGAGACACGGCCCAGACUCCUACGGGAGGCAGCAGUAGGGAAUUUUCGGCAAUGGGGGAAACCCUGACCGAGCAACGCCGCGUGAGUGAUGACGGCCUUCGGGUUGUAAAGCUCUGUUGUAAGGGAAGAACGGUAGAUAGAGAAUAUCUAAAUGACGGUACCUUACCAGAAAGCCACGGCUAACUACGUG
This 486-nucleotide ribosomal RNA is filed under the name uncultured bacterium. RNAcentral's name for it is "partial 16S ribosomal RNA". It matches the Rfam family "Bacterial small subunit ribosomal RNA", at positions 28 to 507 of the family's 1533-position model. The record is from RNAcentral.